CCCUUAGAUGUUCUGGGCCGCACGCGCGCUACACUGAUGCAUUCAACGAGUUUUUCCUGGUCCGAUAGGUCUGGGUAAUCUUUGAACGCUGUUCGUGAUUGGGAUAGACCUUUGCAAUUAUGGGUCUUCAACGAGGAAUUCCUAGUAAACGCAAGUCAUCAGCUUGCAUUGAUUACGUCCCUGCCCUUUGUACACACCGCCCGUCGCACCUACCGAUUGAAUGGUCCGGUGAAAUCUCGGGACGGCGGCUUGGUCGCUUGCGUCCGACUGCUGAAACUUGAUUAAACCAUAUCAUUUAGAGGAAGGUGAAGUCGUAACA
RNAcentral lists this ribosomal RNA (319 nucleotides) under uncultured eukaryote. RNAcentral's name for it is "partial 18S ribosomal RNA". It matches the Rfam family "Eukaryotic small subunit ribosomal RNA", at positions 1470 to 1796 of the family's 1831-position model. The record is from RNAcentral.